GCAUCGCUGGAGACCUGCGUCGACCUGGCUGCCCGGAAAGACUCAGCUGUAAAGGUGCUGCUCUGACUUUAUGAUUCAGGAGGCGGAGAGGAGAAGCUCAGGGAAGAAAAUACAGCUGCGUUGCUGCUGCUGCAAAAAAAGAUGGGAUGAUAAAUCAGCCUCCAACGUACUCCUGAUUGUGCCAGGUCUCUCGGCAAAUGCCAUCUUGCUGUCCAGCUCCUCCUGCGCUUACCCCGACAGAACAAGAGGAAAUGAGAGCUUCUGCCCAAGAAAGGAGUACCACCAGCUCUGCUGGUGCCUGCUGAACAGUCAUAACACAGCUCCAUCCAGCUGCUGCAGGAACCGAAGUAAUGCUGAAAGGGUGCUAUCAGGAGCAAUCACUGCAUUUUGCACUUAAUGUUGUUUACUGUAGUGCCUAACAAAUUGAAUUACAUGCUAAUCAGCACACCCUGCCUGUUAAAUCUAUGGCUCCUUUUCAUUUCACUUCUUUCUACACACAAAUAAUUCACUGAGCGUCACAGUGCCAUGGACUCCCAGACUGGUCCAAAUUUCACACGUGACCUUCAAUGACACAUCAGGUCCCCACACACAGAGAAAAUUCCCUGUGUCUGAGAUACUGCCCAUGCAAGGUGUGCGACACAGACCAGCAAAGCAAAUCCACUCUGUCAGCUACUGCACCAUCAUUGUGCUGCCUCCCAGUCACAAAUGAAGGUAUUUUUCCAGCAAAAAGUAGCCUACAGCCCUACCCUGGAGCAAGAGAGUGGCAGUAUUAUUUUGGGUGCCAGGGGAGCCCAUUCAGGUCCUCCCAUGAGGGUGUCUGUGCUCAGGGCAGGAUUUCCGGCAAUAGCCUUCCCACAAAAGUUAAAGCCUUGCCCAGCUCAUACCCCUGAGCUCACGUUCAGAGAUGACAGGUUGCUCUGUUUGUUCAGUCUCAUACACUUGGCCCCAUCCUGGGGUUUUGGUGGGUUGUCCCUCCCCUGUACGUGAGACCGGGGGACACUCAGGGGGGACUGACGAACUGAAAAGCUUAAAGUCCAGAUUUAUGUAAACAGCCUCCAAGAACAAAUUUUUGCACUUACAGCAUGUAAAACCCAAGGCAGUUGGAAUAAAAGGAAAAAAGGAUGACUUCAAUCCUAAAGUUAAUUGUAUUCUGUAUCUUUUAUCAUAUUCUAAGUAAGAGUAAUCCAGUCAACCCACCAAAUAAGAGAGAAGUCUGCUCAAC
Gymnogyps californianus (California condor) is the source of this 1222-nucleotide long non-coding RNA. RefSeq lists it as uncharacterized. The transcript is spliced from 4 exons. The record is from RefSeq and is a predicted model, not a curated record. NCBI's taxonomy places the organism in Eukaryota, Metazoa, Chordata, Aves, Accipitriformes, Cathartidae.